RNAcentral lists this long non-coding RNA (1361 nucleotides) under Mytilus galloprovincialis (Mediterranean mussel). Lineage: Eukaryota; Metazoa; Mollusca; Bivalvia; Mytilida; Mytilidae. The record is from RNAcentral.
CUUGAAUAUUAUUAUAGAUAGAGAUAAACUGUAAACAGCAAUAAUGUUCAGCAAAGUAAGAUCUACAAAUAAGUCGACAUGACCAAAAUGGUCAGUUGACCACUUUAGGAGUUAUUGCCCUUUUUAGUCCAUUUUAACCAUUUUUCGUAAAUCUUAGUUAUCUUUUACAAAAAUCUUCUCCUCUGAAACUACUGGGACAAAUUAAUCCAAACUUGGCCACAAUCAUCAUUGGAGUAUCUAGUUUAAAAAAUGUGUGGCGUGACCCGGCCAACCAACCAAGAUGGCCGCCAUGGCUAAAAAUAGAACAUAGGGGUAAAAUGCAGUUUUUGGCUUAUAACUCAAAAACCAAAGCAUUUAGAGCAAAUCUGUCAUGGGGUAAAAUUGUUCAUCAGGUCAAGAUCUAUCUGCCCUGAAAUUUUCAGAUGAAUCGAACAACCCGUUGUUGGUUGCUGCCCCUGAAUUGAUAAUUUUAAGGAAAUUUUGCUGUUUUUGGUUAUUAUCUUGAAUAUUAUUAUAGAUAGAGAUAAACUGUAAACAGCAAUAAUGUUCAGCAAAGUAAGAUCUACAAAUAAGUCAACAUGACCAAAAUGGUCAGUUGACCGCUUUAGGAGUUAUUGCCCUUUAUAGUCUAUUUUUAACCAUUUUUCGUAAAUCUUAGUAAUCUUUUAGAAAAAUCUUCUUCUCUGAAACUACUGGGCCAAAUUUAACCAAACUUGGCCAUAAUCAUCAUUGGGGUAUAUAGUUUAAAAAAUUUGUCCGUUGACCCGGCCAACCAACCAAGAUGGCCGCCAUGGCUAAAAAUAGAACAUAGGGGUAAAAUGCAGUUUUUGGCUUAUAACUCAAAAACCAAAGCAUUAAGAGCAAAUCUGACAGGAAGUAAAAUUGUUGAUCAGGUGAAGAUCUAUCUGCCCUGGAAUUUUCAGAUGAAUCGGAUAAUCGGUUGUUAGGUUGCUGCCCCUGAAUUGAUAAUUUUGAGGAAAUUUUGCUGUUUUUUUUUGUUAUCUUGAAUAUUAUUAUAGAUAGAGAUAAACUGUAAACAGCAAUAAUGUACAGCAAAGUAAGAACUAAAAAUAAGUCACUAUGACCAAAAUAGUCAAUUGACCCCCUAAGGAGUUAUUGCCCUUCAUAGUCAAUUUUUAACAAUUUUCUUAAAAUUUGAAGAUUUUCAAUAACAUUUUCCACAGAAAGUACUGUUAUAGGUAGAGAUAAUUGUAAGCAGCAAGAAUGAUUAGUAAAGUAAGAUCUACAAACACAUCACCAUCACCAAAACACAAUUUUGUCAUGAAUCCAUCUGUGUCCAUUGUUUAAUAUUCACAUAGACCAAGGUGAGCGACACAGGCUCUUUAGAGCCUCUAGUUUUU